Molecule: ribosomal RNA, 503 nt
Filed under: uncultured bacterium
Lineage: Bacteria
Description: partial 16S ribosomal RNA
Rfam family: Bacterial small subunit ribosomal RNA
Source: RNAcentral
AUUGAACGCUGGCGGCAGGCUUAACACAUGCAAGUCGAGCGGGGUGAUGGUGCUUGCACUAUCACUUAGCGGCGGACAGGUGAGUAAUGCUUAGGAAUCUGCCUAUUAGUGGGGGACGACAUCCCGAAAGGGAUGCUAAUACCGCAUACGUCCUACGGGAGAAAGAAGGGGAUCACUUGUGACCUUGCGCUAAUAGAUGAGCCUAAGUCGGAUUAGCUAGUUGGUGGGGUAAAGGCCUACCAAGGCGACGAUCUGUAGCGGGUCUGAGAGGAUGAUCCGCCACACUGGGACUGAGACACGGCCCAGACUCCUACGGGAGGCAGCAGUGGGGAAUAUUGGACAAUGGGGGGAACCCUGAUCCAGCCAUGCCGCGUGUGUGAAGAAGGCCUUAUGGUUGUAAAGCACUUUAAGCGAGGAGGAGGCUCUUUUGGUUAAUACCCAAGAUGAGUGGACGUUACUCGCAGAAUAAGCACCGGCUAACUCUGUGCCAGCCGCCGCUGUAA